CCCUUAGAUGCUCUGGGCCGCACGCGCGCUACACUGGUCGAUGCAACGAGUUUCUUUCCUUGGCCGACAGGCCUGGGCAAUCUUUGAACGCUGGUCGUGAUGGGGAUAGACUUUUGCAAUUUUUGGUCUUCAACGAGGAAUUCCUAGUAAACGCAAGUCAUCAACUUGCAUUGAUUACGUCCCUGCCCUUUGUACACACCGCCCGUCGCACCUACCGAUUGAAUGGUCCGGUGAAGCCUCCGGAUUGGCGCGCACCUCGGUGCCGCCGAGAAGUUGGCUAAACCUUACCAUUUAGAGGAAGGUGAAGUCGUAACA
Molecule: ribosomal RNA, 315 nt
Filed under: uncultured eukaryote
Lineage: Eukaryota
Description: partial 18S ribosomal RNA
Rfam family: Eukaryotic small subunit ribosomal RNA
Source: RNAcentral